Molecule: long non-coding RNA, 1494 nt
Filed under: Marmota monax (woodchuck)
Lineage: Eukaryota; Metazoa; Chordata; Mammalia; Rodentia; Sciuridae
Source: RNAcentral
GGAGAGUUGUGUAUCUUUUUCAGUAUAAUAUAGCUGCCAUUAAGUAAAUUUUGUAAAAAGGAAAGUACAUAUGGAGAGAAAGUCAAAAAUCAUUAAAACAUUAUAACAUCUCAGAUUUGCUGGGCAAGUUAGCACACACCUUCAAUACCAGCAGCUCAGGAGGCUGAAGCAGGAGGAUUGCAAGUUUAAAGCCAGCCUUGGCAGAAGCAAGACACUAAGCAACUCAGUGAGACCCUGUGUCUAAAUAAAGUAAAAGACAAACUAGGGCUGGGGAUGUGGCUCAGUGGUUGAGUGGCCCUGAGUUCAAUCCCUGGUAUCCCCACCACCACCACCAAAAGAAAAAUUUCAGAGUUGAGCUUAUGGAAAGAUCCAGGAAAACAAGAUGUUGCUUCACUGUAAUACUGGACCCAGAGCCUUCAAGGCCCUACCCUUAUUCCUCCAGCGGAGUAGAAGUUUGCCGAAAAGCUACACAGUUCAAGCCGCACUACACACAUCUACCACCCCUGCCUGCUGCCCCCACACCUGCUGUGGGGGUGAGAAUAGGAAACAAAGCAACACUUCUGGGAAGCCUGCUGCCAAAUAAUACAGCAUUAGAACAGUCACUGACAAAAGGUCCAUUCCAAACCUUGCUAUUGUCCAGCCCCAAGUGCUGGCAGAAGCAGAAAACCUUGGCACCCAAGCUCCUGUCUGCACACCCUCCCUUCUGCUGGGCUAUUGCAAUUGGUGAGCUUGUCCUCUCACCUUUCUCCAUCAAAUAAUUGGAUUGGCAUCAGUUAUUCAGACCUGAAUUUCAGUGUGUGCGCACACAUGUGCCCCACACACUUUUCCUUUUAACUGUGACAAGGAAGUCAUUCCCCACCAAAGAAGUAUCAGAUAUCCUUGAGCACAAGUAGGUGGUUGAGUAUUUUCUGGAGACAGGUUUUCAUUGAAAAAGGGAGUGAGAUCCAGCAUUUCCACUUCUAGGUAUAUACUAAAAACUUGAAAUCAGUAUGUCAAAGAGGUAUCUUCAUACCUAUAUUCAUUGCAACAUUAUUCACAAGCUAAAUGUGUGUCAGUGGAUGAAAGGAUAAAGAAAUUCACACAUACAAUGGAAUAUUACUUUGCCUUGAAAAAAGUCUGUCCUUGCAACAACAUGGAUGGCCCUAGAAGACAUGUUAAAAGAAAUAAGCCAGUCAACAAAAGACAAAAGUCAUAUGUCCUCUUAUAUGUAAGAUCUAAAUCAAACUCAGAAACAGAGAAUAAUGGUAUUUAUCAGGAACUGGGGAAAGGAUAGAUGAAGGCAUUUUGAUUAGGUUGCAGUUAGGAAUAUGUUAAUUAGUUUGAUUCAAUCAUUCCCUCACUGAACCUAAUAAUUACAUACAAUCACAAUUUGUUGUAAAAUAAAAUACAUUUUUAGCAUAUUAUGAGAGAAUUAAUUCUUCAGAAAAUGUAAAUCUAAGUCAAUGGUGACUAGAAACGUUUUUUAAAAAAAAAAUCAAAAUAUUUUUAAAUCUU